UACGGGGGGAGCAAGCGUUGUUCGGAGUUACUGGGCGUAAAGGGCGCGUAGGCGGCCAGUGCAAGUCAGUUGUGAAAUCUCCGAGCUUAACUCGGAAAGGUCAACUGAUACUGCUCGGCUAGAGUGCGGAAGGGGCAACUGGAAUUCUUGGUGUAGCGGUGAAAUGCGUAGAUAUCGAGAGGAACACCUGCGGCGAAGGCGGGUUGCUGGGCCGACCCUGACGCUGAGGCGCGAAGGCUAGGGGAGCGAACGGG
This 254-nucleotide ribosomal RNA is filed under the name uncultured bacterium. Its description in RNAcentral is "partial 16S ribosomal RNA". It matches the Rfam family "Bacterial small subunit ribosomal RNA", at positions 524 to 776 of the family's 1533-position model. The record is from RNAcentral.